AUGCCUACGGGGGGCAGCAGUAGGGAAUCUUCGGCAAUGGGGGCAACCCUGACCGAGCAACGCCGCGUGAGUGGAGAAGGUUUUCGGAUCGUAAAGCUCUGUUGUAAGAGAAGAACGUGUGUGAGAGUGGAAAGUUCACACAGUGACGGUAACUUACCAGAAAGGGACGGCUAACUACGUGCCAGCAGCCGCGGUAAUACGUAGGUCCCGAGCGUUAUCCGGAUUUAUUGGGCGUAAAGCGAGCGCAGGCGGUUGGGUAAGUCUGAAGUUUAAGGCUGUGGGUUUACCAUUGUAUGCUUUUGAAA
RNAcentral lists this ribosomal RNA (305 nucleotides) under uncultured bacterium. Its description in RNAcentral is "bacterial SSU rRNA". It matches the Rfam family "Bacterial small subunit ribosomal RNA", at positions 335 to 632 of the family's 1533-position model. The record is from RNAcentral.